This 301-nucleotide ribosomal RNA is filed under the name uncultured bacterium. RNAcentral's name for it is "partial 16S ribosomal RNA". It matches the Rfam family "Bacterial small subunit ribosomal RNA", at positions 509 to 807 of the family's 1533-position model. The record is from RNAcentral.
CAGCCGCCGCGGUAAUACAGAGGAUGCAAGUGUUAUCUGGAAUGAUUGGGCGUAAAGCGUCUGUAGGUGGCUUUUCAAGUCCGCCGUCAAUUCCCCGGGCUCAACCCUUGACAGGCAGUGGAAACUACCAAGCUGGAGUACGGUAGGGGCAGAGGGAAUUUCCGGUGGAGCGGUGAAAUGCAUUGAGAUCGGAAAGAACACCAACGACGAAAGCACUCUGCUGGGCCGACACUGACACUGAGAGAUGAAAGCUAGGGGAGUAAAUGGGAUUAGAUACCCCCGUAGUCCCUGUCUCUUAUAC